UCCUCUUCCGAAGCCAAUCAUCAAAUAGAGGAAAAUACCGGCUAUUGACCUUGCCAUAAGGAACCUUACCCUUCCUCUGAAUGUCACGCCACUCAUCCAAUACUUGCCUCAGCUUGGCCUGAUUGCCCUCAAUCGGAAAGUAGAAGGACUCCUGAAUCUCUCGUCCAAGAGGAGGACCCUCCACAGCUUUAAAUUUCUACGGGAUCACAAUCCCCUCCACUAGCCCCAUGUUUGACAUAUUGACCACCCCAGGAGUGGCAUAACUCUCCAAAGCUCUGAUUUUCUCAGCCAGCAGCUGAAUCUCUUUGUUC
This 311-nucleotide long non-coding RNA is filed under the name Lathyrus oleraceus (garden pea). RNAcentral's name for it is "Pisum sativum (pea) long non-coding RNA (PSAT_LNC037296)". Lineage: Eukaryota; Viridiplantae; Streptophyta; Magnoliopsida; Fabales; Fabaceae. The record is from RNAcentral.